This 466-nucleotide ribosomal RNA is filed under the name uncultured bacterium. RNAcentral describes it as "partial 16S ribosomal RNA". It matches the Rfam family "Bacterial small subunit ribosomal RNA", at positions 28 to 507 of the family's 1533-position model. The record is from RNAcentral.
GAUGAACGCUGGCGGCGUGCUUAACACAUGCGAGUCGAACGAUGAAGCCCAGCUUGCUGGGUGGAUUAGUGGCGAACGGGUGAGUAACACGUGAGUAACCUGCCCUUGACUCUGGGAUAAGCCUGGGAAACUGGGUCUAAUACUGGAUAUGACUUCUCAUCGCAUGGUGGGGGGUGGAAAGAUUUAUUGGUCUUGGAUGGACUCGCGGCCUAUCAGCUUGUUGGUGAGGUAAUGGCUCACCAAGGCGACGACGGGUAGCCGGCCUGUGAGGGUGACCGGCCACACUGGGACUGAGACACGGCCCAGACUCCUACGGGAGGCAGCAGUGGGGAAUAUUGCACAAUGGGCGCAAGCCUGAUGCAGCGACGCCGCGUGAGGGAUGACGGCCUUCGGGUUGUAAACCUCUUUCAGUAGGGAAGAAGCGAGAGUGACGGUACCUGCAGAAGAAGCGCCGGCUAACUACGUG